UCCGGUUUGUCACCGGCAGUCCCAUUAGAGUGCUCAACUGAAUGUAGCAACUAAUGGCAAGGGUUGCGCUCGUUGCGGGACUUAACCCAACAUCUCACGACACGAGCUGACGACAGCCAUGCAACACCUAUCGCAGGCCCUUACGGACACCGGCUUUCACCGGCUUUAACUAGCAUGUCAAGCCUAGGUAAGGUUCUUCGCGUUGCAUCGAAUUAAGCCACAUACUCCACCGCUUGUGCAGGCCCCCGUCAAUUUCUUUGAGUUUUAAUCUUGCGGCCGUACUUCCCAGGCGGCACAUUUAACGCGUUGGCUACGCCACGAAAGGGGUCGAAUCCUCUCACAGCAAAUGUGCACCGUUUACGGCUAGGACUAC
RNAcentral lists this unclassified non-coding RNA (373 nucleotides) under uncultured bacterium. RNAcentral's name for it is "contains 16S-23S intergenic spacer region". The record is from RNAcentral.